This 410-nucleotide ribosomal RNA is filed under the name uncultured bacterium. Its description in RNAcentral is "bacterial SSU rRNA". It matches the Rfam family "Bacterial small subunit ribosomal RNA", at positions 29 to 481 of the family's 1533-position model. The record is from RNAcentral.
AACGAACGCUGGCGGCAGGCCUAACACAUGCAAGUCGAGCGCGCCCUUCGGGGUGAGCGGCGGACGGGUGAGUAACGCGUGGGAACGUGCCCUUUUUCUACGGAAUAGUCUCGGGAAACUGGGGGUAAUACCGUAUACGCCCUUCGGGGAAAGAUUAUCGGAGAAGGAUCGGCCCGCGUUGGAUUAGGUAGUUGGUGGGGUAAUGGCCUACCAAGCCGACGAUCCAUAGCUGGUUUGAGAGGAUGAUCAGCCACACUGGGACUGAGACACGGCCCAGACUCCUACGGGAGGCAGCAGUGGGGAAUCUUAGACAAUGGGCGCAAGCCUGAUCUAGCCAUGCCGCGUGAGCGAUGAAGGCCUUAGGGUGUAAAGCUCUUUUCAGGGGGGGGAAGAGUAAUAGACUGUACCCC